UGGGGCAUCGUAUAACGGCAGUACAGCGGACUCUGGAUCCGCUAGUCUAGGUUCGAAUCCUAGUGCCCCAGCCA
This 74-nucleotide transfer RNA is filed under the name Candidatus Dadabacteria bacterium. Its description in RNAcentral is "tRNA-Gln". It matches the Rfam family "tRNA". Rfam says of the family: Transfer RNA (tRNA) molecules are approximately 80 nucleotides in length. Their secondary structure includes four short double-helical elements and three loops (D, anti-codon, and T loops). The record is from RNAcentral. RNAcentral also lists the same sequence under 2 other names. Lineage: Bacteria; Pseudomonadati; Thermodesulfobacteriota; Candidatus Dadabacteria.